RNAcentral lists this ribosomal RNA (253 nucleotides) under uncultured bacterium. RNAcentral's name for it is "partial 16S ribosomal RNA". It matches the Rfam family "Bacterial small subunit ribosomal RNA", at positions 524 to 776 of the family's 1533-position model. The record is from RNAcentral.
GACGUAGGGCGCGAGCGUUGUCCGGAUUUAUUGGGCGUAAAGAGCUCGUAGGCGGCUUGUCGCGUCGAUCGUGAAAACUUGUGGCUCAACUACAAGCUGGCGGUCGAUACGGGCAGGCUGGAGUUCGGUAGGGGAGACUGGAAUUCCAGGUGUAGCGGUGAAAUGCGUAGAUAUCUGGAGGAACACCGGUGGCGAAGGCGACAUCCUGGACCGGUAUUGACGCUGAGGCGCGAAAGCCAGGGGAGCAAACGGG